RNAcentral lists this ribosomal RNA (465 nucleotides) under Vreelandella stevensii. Its description in RNAcentral is "partial 16S ribosomal RNA". It matches the Rfam family "Bacterial small subunit ribosomal RNA", at positions 338 to 795 of the family's 1533-position model. The record is from RNAcentral. Lineage: Bacteria; Pseudomonadati; Pseudomonadota; Gammaproteobacteria; Oceanospirillales; Halomonadaceae.
CCUACGGGUGGCAGCAGUGGGGAAUAUUGGACAAUGGGGGGAACCCUGAUCCAGCCAUGCCGCGUGUGUGAAGAAGGCCCUCGGGUGGUAAAGCACUUUCAGUGAGGAAGAACGCCUGGUGGUUAAUACCCAUCAGGAAAGACAUCACUCACAGAAGAAGCACCGGCUAACUCCGUGCCAGCAGCCGCGGUAAUACGGAGGGUGCGAGCGUUAAUCGGAAUUACUGGGCGUAAAGCGCGCGUAGGUGGCUUGAUAAGCCGGUUGUGAAAGCCCCGGGCUCAACCUGGGAACGGCAUCCGGAACUGUCAAGCUAGAGUGCAGGAGAGGAAGGUAGAAUUCCCGGUGUAGCGGUGAAAUGCGUAGAGAUCGGGAGGAAUACCAGUGGCGAAGGCGGCCUUCUGGACUGACACUGACACUGAGGUGCGAACGCGUGGGUAGCAAACAGGAUUAGAUACUCCGGUAGUC